Molecule: transfer RNA, 67 nt
Filed under: Marmota monax (woodchuck)
Lineage: Eukaryota; Metazoa; Chordata; Mammalia; Rodentia; Sciuridae
Description: tRNA.Ala
Source: RNAcentral
GGAUUGUGGCUCAUCGGUAGAUCGCUCGCCUAGCACAGGUGAGACCUGAGUUCGAUUCUCAGCACCA